CCCUUAGAUGUUCUGGGCCGCACGCGCGCUACAAUGAUGCAUUCAACGAGUGUCUCCUCGGUCGAGAGGCCUGGGUAAUCUUUUGAAUGUGCAUCGUGUUAGGGAUAGAUUAUUGCAAUUAUUAAUCUUCAACGAGGAAUUCCUAGUAAACGCAGUUCAUCAAACUGCAUUGAUUACGUCCCUGCCCUUUGUACACACCGCCCGUCGCACCUACCGAUUGAAUGGUCCGGUGAAGCCUCGAGAUUGUGACAGGUGCCUUUAUUGGUGUCAGUCUCAAGAACUUGUCUGAACCUUAUCAUUUAGAGGAAGGUGAAGUCGUAACA
Molecule: ribosomal RNA, 323 nt
Filed under: uncultured eukaryote
Lineage: Eukaryota
Description: partial 18S ribosomal RNA
Rfam family: Eukaryotic small subunit ribosomal RNA
Source: RNAcentral